GCUCACUUCCAAAAAAAAUUUUUGGUUACCCGCUCAUUACUCCCUCUUCUUCUCAUCUCAGCCAUGUGCCCUAAAUCCCCCAAAUAAAAGUUUGUUUUUCUUCAGCUAAAAUCCCCCAAAUUUCCCAUUUCCAACAACAGACUUCAAGGAAGAAAACCAGAAGAUGGGAUGGAAUCACCCAGACAUAUCGCUGGAAGAAAUGAUGAAACUGAUAGAAGGGUUUGUUGAUAUCCUGGUUUUGUCUUCUGGGUAUCAAUCCUCUGGUCUUCCCGCUCACUAGGACUUUGAUAACAUCAAGCGAGCCUUUCAAUGGGCCCUCUUCUUUGAAAAUAUCAGUAGUUUGUACCCUCUUUGAAAAUGUCUGAUAAGAGAUGCUAAGUCGGAUUUUGUUCCAGAUCUUCAACAGCAGGUAGUAUAUAAUUUUUCCUUUUGAUGAAUACAAUAUUUCCUCUGCGUUUCGAGAAAGACUAGAACACAUGGAACAUUCUAGAAACCAACGUCUAAUGCUCCUCCUGGCGGAGAAAGAGCUGCAAGCGCACAAAUCUCAGGUUUUGGAAUCGAAGCUGGCUCGUAUUGGUUCCAUGGAACGAAGUUUCUUGUUUCUUGAUCAAAAGAUCGCAUCACAAAACUUUAGAAUCUCUGCUCUCAAAUCUGAUAUCGAAAAUCUCGACACCAAAUAUGAUUCUAGUUCUCAAAAAUUGAAGGCUAUGAAAAGUGAGAUUGAGGAGCUUGAAGAGGUGGAGAAGGAGAGAGAUAAGUUUUACGAAUUGAAAAUUUCAGAAAUGAAUGAGUUUAGAGAGAAUGUAAAGAGGUUUUUGACGGAAACUCGAACUCGAAUGCAAGAAUUGAGGAACAGUGUAAACGAGCUGAAGUUAACUUUUAUGGAACUUCCAGGCAACAAUGGUUAUAGAGUAGUUCUGAGAUAGCUGAGGCAGAGAUGAAAAGGGCUGAACUGUUGGCUAUGAAAGAGAGUUUAACAAAAACCUUAGCUUCAAAUCACCAAAGAAGAGCAGAGUUGCAAAAGCAGAUUGAGAAUAUGCUGGUUGCACGAAGUCCAGAGAGAUGGAAACCAAUCCAGUCUGGCAAUAGCAAAGGUGUCUGAUAACAAUAUGGCAGAUUCAUGAGGAUGAGUCAUGUUGCCGAAUCAAAUUUCUACCAUAAUUCCGGGAGACAGCCUUGCAAUAUUGAGAGCAGAGUUAAAGAGUCAAAAUAAGCAUGUGAAAAAUUUGAAGAAAAAAUCUCUUUGGUCUAGAAUUUUGGAAGAGGUCAUGGAGAAGCUUGUAGAUAUCGUUCAUUUCUUGCACUUGGAGAUUCACGAGGCAUUUGGCGCUGCUGGUAAGAAUUUAAAUCAUCAAACUCAAAUCAUUUGGAAAUGGAAUUAUUUUAUCAAGGAAGUUAUGAAGAUAAAAUUAAAAUAUUUAUGCUACAUUUGGUGGGAGUAUUAUUUUUUAUGCAUGUUUUGGUAUAUAAGUUAGCAAUAAACUAAUUCAAUUGGUAAUAUUUAACCAUUCCCAUGACUUAUUUUAGCAAAGAGAAGGAAAAAUAUUUGCUUAUUUUGAAGAGGUCUUAUUUUUUACAGGAGUUUUAUUCAUCUUUCUAAUUUCAAGUUUAAAAUUGUACUAACUAUUCUUUAUGUUAGGUCUAAGCAUUCUUGUAUUUCCCCAGUUUAAAAUUGUACUAAUUUCAAGUUUAAAAUUGUACUAACUAUUUCCCCCGAAAAAAUUACCUUUCAAAUCCGUCAGUUAAAUAAAAUUAUUUGUGAGAUUAAAUAAAUAAAUGUGCUAUAGUCUCUGUAAUUUGCCAUCUAAGCAUUCUUGUAUUUCAUCUAAUUUGUUUGCUGUUUAUGCUAAAGAACUGUGGCCUUUUUUAUCAUUCAUUUUGUGCAGGAAUUAGUGGUGCACCUCAAGAUAACAACAUUAUGCUUUGGAAUGUUGUUAUAUUUGGGUAUAUUAUGAAAUAAGACUAGAGAAUAUUUAUGUACUUGCUUUUUAGAUUAAAGUUCUAUUAAAUUGUGCUAAUGUCUUUACUUGAUAGAUUUGCAGACUAAUGCUAAUGUCUAUUAAAUUCUGGUGUUUUGGUUUGAAGCAUCAAUUUUUCUGUGUUCGUUUAGUUGAUUUGUUUGAUUUUCUCUUUAGAAGGUUGCUAUGCUCAAUAUAUGUUGAUGUAAUCUAUUUAAAAUUUCUGAGCGGUUUUAAAAUUUAUUUUGAUUAUUAUGUGAGGUUAGGCAACAAGGUGAAUAAUAUCGAUGAUUAUUACUUUGAUUAUUUAUGGUGCGAAGAUUAUAAGUAUAUCAAGGUGAUCUUUUCUGAUUGUCCUGAAACUUCUGCAUCUCAGCCGAGGUUAGUCUCAAUUGAUCUCAAUUGUCUCCUUGUUCCACUAUUAGCUAAAACAAUAAGGUCGUUGAUUUUCUGACUUGCUUAAUAGAUUAGUUGUUUCAUGUUUGGAAACUUUUGAUGCUCUUGGUCUUUAUGUCCUGUAGCCAUUGAAAAAAAUUUGGUUCUCAUUCUUCACUUAACAAGUCCAGUGGCGCAUACAUAUGUAAACUAGGAAUUCAUUGGUUUCAUUGUUGUAAUCUAUCUUAUUCAAUAUCUAAUUCAUUUCCAUGGUUGAGAUAGCUAAGUUGUCAAUUUCCUCGAGUAUUAAUUUUUGCAUUCAUGUUAUUUCCCAUUCAUAUUUAACUUGUCAAUAUCAAUUUUUGUUUUAAUGCACUAUAAUUAUUUUCCCAAUUCUGCAGGGUAUAUGAAGAUUGGAUAACCAGGAAUGUAGCAGAUGUAGUUUGCAUUGUAUUUUUAUUACCAAGAUUUACUUGAUUAAGAAAAUGUAUUGUAUUUUUAGUACCUUGCAAUGUGUAUAGUUAUUGGCAAGUUCAACUAGUCAGUCUAUUUCUCAUAUGUAUUAUUCUUUUUAACUUUUGGAUUUUAAUUGUGUUAUUAAUUUAUUAUUUUAAAUUCUAAAACUAAAUUCAUUAA
Gossypium raimondii (Peruvian cotton) is the source of this 2969-nucleotide RNA transcript. RefSeq lists it as uncharacterized. NCBI's taxonomy places the organism in Eukaryota, Viridiplantae, Streptophyta, Magnoliopsida, Malvales, Malvaceae. The transcript is spliced from 6 exons. The record is from RefSeq and is a predicted model, not a curated record.